RNAcentral lists this ribosomal RNA (253 nucleotides) under uncultured bacterium. RNAcentral describes it as "partial 16S ribosomal RNA". It matches the Rfam family "Bacterial small subunit ribosomal RNA", at positions 524 to 776 of the family's 1533-position model. The record is from RNAcentral.
GACGUAGGGCGCGAGCGUUGUCCGGAUUUAUUGGGCGUAAAGAGCUCGUAGGUGGUUUGUCGCGUUGUUCGUGAAAUCUCACGGCUUAACUGUGAGCGUGCGGGCGAUACGGGCAGACUAGAGUACUGCAGGGGAGACUGGAAUUCCUGGUGUAGCGGUGGAAUGCGCAGAUAUCAGGAGGAACACCGGUGGCGAAGGCGGGUCUCUGGGCAGUAACUGACGCUGAGGAGCGAAAGCGUGGGGAGCGAACAGG